AUUGAACGCUGGCGGCAUGCCUUACACAUGCAAGUCGAACGGCAGCACGGGUGCUUGCACCUGGUGGCGAGUGGCGAACGGGUGAGUAAUACAUCGGAACAUGUCCUGUAGUGGGGGAUAGCCCGGCGAAAGCCGGAUUAAUACCGCAUUCGAUCUACGGAUGAAAGCGGGGGACCUUUGGGCCUCGCGCUAUAGGGUUGGCCGAUGGCUGAUUAGCUAGUUGGUGGGGUAAAGGCCUACCAAGGCGACGAUCAGUAGCUGGUCUGAGAGGACGACCAGCCACACUGGGACUGAGACACGGCCCAGACUCCUACGGGAGGCAGCAGUGGGGAAUUUUGGACAAUGGGCGAAAGCCUGAUCCAGCAAUGCCGCGUGUGUGAAGAAGGCCUUCGGGUUGUAAAGCACUUUUGUCCGGAAAGAAAUCCUUGGCCCUAAUACGGUCGGGGGAUGACGGUACCGGAAGAAUAAGCACCGGCUAACUACGUG
This 486-nucleotide ribosomal RNA is filed under the name uncultured bacterium. RNAcentral's name for it is "partial 16S ribosomal RNA". It matches the Rfam family "Bacterial small subunit ribosomal RNA", at positions 30 to 507 of the family's 1533-position model. The record is from RNAcentral.